AUGAGUUGUUUCCUUCGUGGACACAGACAUAAGUGCCAUGGGGCAUUGAGCGUAACAAACAAUAAUUCUGAAACAGUUUCUAGGAUUGGCAAACGUCUUCGGUACCUGACGAAGCACCCUAACUCAGACAUACAGGCGGUGGCUGCAGACCUUUUUGGGUACUGGAAGAAGGUUGUUAUUGAAGAGACAGGAAAGAAAAACGGCACACCAGCGAAUGGAAAAUCAGAUAACUCUGCAGCUAAGGCUGAGAAACCUCAGCCCAUGAAGGUUGAAAAGAAGUCAGCGCACGUGAAGGUUGAGAAGAACUCUAUGUCGACAACUGUGAAGUCUGAAAAGAAUGCAACUGUGAAGACUGAAAAGAAUUCUAUGUCGGCAAGCGUGAAGAUUGAGAAGACUGCGAAUAAUGAUUCCAAAGUCCAAGUUAAGGUUGAGAAGGUUUCAAAGGAAGUUAGCAGAACAUCUGAAACAAAGAAACCAUCUUCUGUUCCAAAUGGUCCCCCAAAGCUGACAUCCCUCGUCAGAUGCAACGAUGCUGCUCGAGAUAAAUACAGGGAGCUUCUUGUUGACGCGUUCGUCAAGGUUUCCAAGGAAACUAGCGAGGAUGACAGAGAGGAAAUAAGAGAUCUACUGGACCAGGUAAAUGCAUGCGACCCAUAUAGAGUUGCUGUGACAGUGGAGUCGGCCUUGUUUGAGAGGAUCGGGCGUUCCACUGGGACCCACAAGGUGAAAUACAGGUCGAUACUGUUCAACCUAAAGGCGGACAACAACCCUGACUUCCGGCGGAGGGUGCUGCUGGGCGAGGUGAGGCCCGGGAGCCUGGUGGAUAUGCCAGCGGACGAGAUGGCGAGCGACGCUCGGAAGCUGGAGAACCAGCAGAUCAAGGAGAAGGCCCUGUUUGACUGCGAGCGCGCGUCGGCGCCCAAGGCGUCGACGGACCAGUUCAAGUGCGGGCGGUGUGGGCAGCGCAAGACGACCUACUACCAGCUGCAGACGCGGAGUGCCGACGAGCCCAUGACGACGUUUGUGACGUGCGUCAACUGCAACAACCACUGGAAGUUCUGCUGA
RNAcentral lists this ribosomal RNA (1065 nucleotides) under Triticum aestivum (bread wheat). RNAcentral describes it as "partial small subunit ribosomal RNA". Lineage: Eukaryota; Viridiplantae; Streptophyta; Magnoliopsida; Poales; Poaceae. The record is from RNAcentral.